Molecule: long non-coding RNA, 967 nt
Organism: Prunus persica (peach)
Lineage: Eukaryota; Viridiplantae; Streptophyta; Magnoliopsida; Rosales; Rosaceae
Exons: 2
Source: RefSeq, a predicted model, not a curated record
UAACGAGUACAAAGUUACUAUCUAUAUAUGGCAAUAAAAAGAUUUUGGAAAGAUGAAACUGCAGCAGUUUAAAAGUGAAUCAAUCAAAAUAAAACAUAAUCUCCAAUGGACAAAGGACAUCUGAUCUUACUUUCUUCGUUCGUUUUGAACCAAACCACUGCGUACAAGGUUCGGAGUGAAUGCUUGCUGCCUCAUUACCACCAAACAAACUUAGUAAAAGAUCAUUACAAAUAUAUUCGCAAAAGUUAGAUGGAUUUUCUAACCAUUUAUUUUACUUCAAGUCCUUUUGUCGCUGAACUCAUGAUUUCCUGUUGAUAGAGAAUCGAGCAAAUAAUAAAUGUAAUUUCAUCUAGCAAUUAUAAUCGUCAAAAGGAAAGAUCAACACACUGAUGAAAAUGUUAUAAAAACAAAUGGUUAUUGAAAUUUCAACUCUCACCGGAACUAAUAAAUUUUUGAUGUGAAUGUAUUUAUCUCAUCACUGCUUAUGGAAAUGUUGAUGGGGUACCUAUGGGUUUUACAUUUGCUGAUCAACGAAUUCGUUAAACGCUGCCGUGAUGGGAAAAGCUAAGGCUCAACAACGACUAAUUGACAAUCUUGAAGAUGAAUUUGCAAAGAGGGAGUUGCAUCUACCAGCAGGUGAUUUCCCAGAUGUGGUGUGCUUUAGAGAGGUGUUGGAAGGUUACGACGUUGACAAACUUGAGAGGUAGAAGCAAAAAUUGAUUCAAGCGGUCGAUGAUAUGCUUGAGCAUGAAAUCCAGGAGAGCUGUUGAAGAAAUUCAAAACUCCUUAUGAAUGAUUAAAAAUGUUGGCUUUGUAUAUCAGACAUGUAUGGAUAGAGUUGUAUCUUUGAUCUUCCAUUUUACUGUUAGUUGAAUACCUUUUGAGGGUUGCAUUCUCAAAACUGAAGUGCGAAUUAAUAGAAAAAAUACCUAUAUGUAAAUCUCACAAGUGGACAAGAUCUUUUGGU